AAUCUAUGAUGACCUUAUCCUGAACCUGAAUAUCUGUUGAGAAAAAUGGGAA
Small nucleolar RNA from Ursus americanus (American black bear), 52 nucleotides. The record is from Ensembl. Lineage: Eukaryota; Metazoa; Chordata; Mammalia; Carnivora; Ursidae.